UACGUAGGGGGCAAGCGUUAUCCGGAUUUACUGGGUGUAAAGGGAGCGUAGACGGUUAUGUAAGUCUGAAGUGAAAACCCGGGGCCCAACCCCGGGACUGCUUUGGAAACUGUGUAACUAGAGUACAGGAGGGGCAGGCGGAAUUCCUGGUGUAGCGGUGAAAUGCGUAGACAUCAGGAGGAACACCGGCGGCGAAGGCGGCCUGCUGGACUGAAACUGACGUUGAGGCUCGAAAGCGUGGGGAGCAAACAGG
RNAcentral lists this ribosomal RNA (253 nucleotides) under uncultured bacterium. RNAcentral's name for it is "partial 16S ribosomal RNA". It matches the Rfam family "Bacterial small subunit ribosomal RNA", at positions 524 to 776 of the family's 1533-position model. The record is from RNAcentral.